GAUGCGNUNCCUACCAUGCAAGUCGAACGGACGAACCCCUUCGGGGGUAAGUUAGUGGCGGACGGGUGAGUAACGCGUGAGCAACCUGCCUUGAAGAGGGGAAUAACAUCUGGAAACAGAUGCUAAUACCGCAUAACGUAGCGGGGCCGCAUGGUUCUGCUACCAAAGAUUUAUCGCUUCGAGAUGGGCUCGCGUCCGAUUAGCUAGUUGGUGGGGUAACGGCCCACCAAGGCUGCGAUCGGUAGCCGGACUGAGAGGUUGAACGGCCACAUUGGGACUGAGACACGGCCCAGACUCCUACGGGAGGCAGCAGUGAGGGAUAUUGCACAAUGGGCGCAAGCCUGAUGCAGCAACGCCGCGUGAGGGAAGACGGUUUUCGGAUUGUAAACCUCUGUCUUCGGUGAAGAACAAAAUGACGGUAGCCGAGGAGGAAGCCACGGCUAACUACGUGCCAGCAGCCGCGGUAAUACGUAGGUGGCGAGCGUUGUCCGGAAUUACUGGGUGUAAAGGGAGCGCAGGCGGGAAAGCAAGUCAGCGGUGAAAACUAUGGGCUCAACCCAUAGACUGCCGUUGAAACUGUUUUUCUUGAGUGGAGUAGAGGCAAGCGGAAUUCCGAGUGUAGCGGUGAAAUGCGUAGAGAUUCGGAGGAACACCAGUGGCGAAGGCGGCUUGCUGGGCUCUAACUGACGCUGAGGCUCGAAAGUGUGGGGAGCAAACAGGAUUAGAUACCCCUGGUAGUCCCACNCCCGUAAACGAUGAUUGCUAAGUGUGGGGGGGNUCUGAACCCCCCUCCCGUGGCCCGGNANCUUAACNCCAAUAAAGCAAUUCUUACCUUGGGGAAGUACCNGCCCNCCNAGGGGUUGAAAACCUCNAAAAGGAAUUUUGACCGGGGGGGCCCNCCCNCAAACCCGGGGGGGAAAUUUUUNNGGGUUUUNAAAUUNCCNAANACCAACCGCCC
RNAcentral lists this ribosomal RNA (958 nucleotides) under uncultured bacterium. Its description in RNAcentral is "bacterial SSU rRNA". The stretch from base 1 to 833 matches the Rfam family "Bacterial small subunit ribosomal RNA", at positions 41 to 873 of the family's 1533-position model. The record is from RNAcentral.